GUGGGGAAUUUUGGACAAUGGGCGCAAGCCUGAUCCAGCCAUGCCGCGUGCAGGAUGAAGGCCUUCGGGUUGUAAACUGCUUUUGUACGGAACGAAAAGACUCCUUCUAAUAAAGGGGGUCCAUGACGGUACCGUAAGAAUAAGCACCGGCUAACUACGUGCCAGCAGCCGCGGUAAUACGUAGGGUGCGAGCGUUAAUCGGAAUUACUGGGCGUAAAGCGUGCGCAGGCGGUUAUGUAAGACAGAUGUGAAAUCCCCGGGCUCAACCUGGGAACUGCAUUUGUGACUGCAUAGCUAGAGUACGGCAGAGGGGGAUGGAAUUCCGCGUGUAGCAGUGAAAUGCGUAGAUAUGCGGAGGAACACCGAUGGCGAAGGCAAUCCCCUGGGCCUGUACUGACGCUCAUGCACGAAAGCGUGGGGAGCAAACAGGAUUAGAUACCCCAGUAGUCC
Molecule: ribosomal RNA, 450 nt
Filed under: uncultured bacterium
Lineage: Bacteria
Description: partial 16S ribosomal RNA
Rfam family: Bacterial small subunit ribosomal RNA
Source: RNAcentral